ACACAUGCAAGUCGAGCGAUUCUCUUCGGAGAUGAGCGGCGGACGGGUGAGUAACGCGUGGGUAACCUGCCCUGUACACACGGAUAACAUACCGAAAGGUAUGCUAAUACGGGAUAAUAUAAGAAAUUCGCAUGUUUUUCUUAUCAAAGCUCCGGCGGUACAGGAUGGACCCGCGUCUGAUUAGCUAGUUGGUGAGGUAACGGCUCACCAAGGCGACGAUCAGUAGCCGACCUGAGAGGGUGAUCGGCCACAUUGGAACUGAGACACGGUCCAAACUCCUACGGGAGGCAGCAGUGGGGAAUAUUGCACAAUGGGCGAAAGCCUGAUGCAGCAACGCCGCGUGAGCGAUGAAGGCCUUCGGGUCGUAAAGCUCUGUCCUCAAGGAAGAUAAUGACGGUACUUGAGGAGGAAGCCCCGGCUAACUACGUGCCAGCAGCCGCGGUAAUACGUAGGGGGCUAGCGUUAUCCGGAUUUACUGGGCGUAAAGGGUGCGUAGGCGGUCUUUUAAGUCAGGAGUGAAAGGCUACGGCUCAACCGUAGUAAGCUCUUGAAACUGGAGGACUUGAGUGCAGGAGAGGAGAGUGGAAUUCCUAGUGUAGCGGUGAAAUGCGUAGAUAUUAGGAGGAACACCAGUAGCGAAGGCGGCUCUCUGGACUGUAACUGGCGCUGAGGCACGAAAGCGUGGGGAGCAAACAGGAUUAGAUACCCUGGUAGUCCACGCCGUAAACGAUGAGUACUAGCUGUCGGAGGUUACCCCCUUCGGUGGCGCAGCUAACGCAUUAAGUACUCCGCCUGGGGAGUACGCUCGCAAGAGUGAAACUCAAAGGAAUUGACGGGGACCCGCACAAGUAGCGGAGCAUGUGGUUUAAUUCGAAGCAACGCGAAGAACCUUACCUAAGCUUGACAUCCUUUUGACCGAUGCCUAAUCGCAUCUUUCCCUUCGGGGACAGAAGUGACAGGUGGUGCAUGGUUGUCGUCAGCUCGUGUCGUGAGAUGUUGGGUUAAGUCCCGCAACGAGCGCAACCCUUGCCUUUAGUUGCCAUCAUUAAGUUGGACACUCUAGAGGGACUGCCAGGGAUAACCUGGAGGAAGGUGGGGAUGACGUCAAAUCAUCAUGCCCCUUAUGCUUAGGGCUACACACGUGCUACAAUGGGUGGUACAGAGGGCAGCGAAGUCGUGAGGCCAAGCUAAUCCCUUAAAGCCAUUCUCAGUUCGGAUUGUAGGCUGAAACUCGCCUACAUGAAGCUGGAGUUACUAGUAAUCGCAGAUCAGAAUGCUGCGGUGAAUGCGUUCCCGGGUCUUGUACACACCGCCCGUCACACCAUGGGAGUUGGGGGCGCCCGAAGCCGGCUAGCUAACCUUUUGGAAGCGGUCGUCGAAGGUGAAACCAAUAACUGGGGUG
This 1402-nucleotide ribosomal RNA is filed under the name uncultured organism. RNAcentral's name for it is "SSU rRNA". It matches the Rfam family "Bacterial small subunit ribosomal RNA". The record is from RNAcentral.